GCGACCUACAUACAUGUACUUGACAUAAUGUACAGUAGGCCUACACGUUUAUCUAGCCAUACAGCUACGUGGUCUAGCACGGGUAGGCCUACUCUCGCGCAUGCGAGAAAUGCAUGAUAAUGGGUGCCCGUUACGCAUGCGCGGAGUAGCUGCGGGUAUGAUGAGUCGCAGAUGAGGCCGUGUCCGAACGGGCUUGCGAAGGUACGCCUAGGUCUAUUGCCUACGCGUCUCCACGUAUUUGUAAUGGAGCGAAGACCUAGACCUCUAGACAACAUGCAUAACUGACAGAAUGUGGGCUGAGCUUGGAGCCCAUUUCGCGCACGCGCAAAUGCAUACUACCGCACGCACGAACAUAGGUCGUUAAUUUACGAAUCGCGACGGAAAGCGUGGAGUUUCGCAGAAUUUUCUCCAAAAUACGUUGUUCGCAGGCGUAUUUAGUAAUUUCAACACAGCAUUUAUGGAAGUCAGGAUACAAGGCACUUGUUAACGACAUUUUUAGCUGUCUUCGUCGGGUAAAAAUGUGAGAAAAAGUGUUGAAAAAAAUUUCGCACAGUGUCUGAACUUUCAUACCCUCUGGACGUCAUUCGCAAUGCAAUGUAGACGUCGUCCAACCUGGGCUAGGUUGGGGUGAGAUUUCCAUGUAUGGAUAUCACUAAUUGGCCCUUGCAGCAGAUUAUUAGCCACUUAAAAAGUGAUAUCAUCAACAUGUCUUUUAAAAGUCACAUAGAGCUGUUCUGAAACACAAGCUAUUUGUGCAUUACUAGCUUCACUAGUCACUGUGCAUCAAUCUAGCAUUACUAUAUACCAAGCUCGUAAGCAGUAUAUUUAGAUCAUUUCCUCAUAGCCAUUAAAACAAUGCAUGCGAACCUUGACUAACCCCCAUCCCAGCCAUGCAGUAAUAAAUAACGACCACCUUUAACCACUAACCAUUAACCUCAACCCUUAACUGGGUUCUUUUCAUAACCACACAUAAUCAACAGCCUGCAUGGUUCUACCACAAACCUUUAUAACCUCCAUUAACAAAUAACCUGUAGCCAUAAACCAUAACUUGACCAAUUACCACUUUCCUGAUUAGAGUGAGGAAUGUGAUCUGUUUAAAUGCUGAAAAGACUGAAAAUUUUCUUUCUGCUUAUGUGCUUCAUUGCACAUGAUGUGCUCUUUUGUCUUAAAAGAAUCAAUGUGGCAUUUCCUGAGCUCGUUUGAAAUUUAAAAAAUUGCAAAGGUUAUUUAAAAAAUCCCUGAAAAUGCCUCCAACUUUGGCAAGUUCCAUGGUCAGGGUUCUUUGAAGUCCAACUUUGGCCCCCAAUAUAAUGAGAACUGUGCAGGCUCCUUGGACAGUCUUCAGCAAAGAGGGGAAAUCAACAUUGACCUCUGCAGCAGCGGACUCUGAAUCUUGACUUUGAGAAUUUAAAAAAGGAGGACUUCAUGGACAUGAUAGAAGCUGCAGUGUUGGAAAAGAGACUAGAUCUCUUGGAGAAAAUGAAAGGACAGUUGUGAGGAAGAGACCUCAAGAAUUCUUAGUGGUGUAUGGGAGAAAAAAAUGACUGAAUGUCUGGAAUCGAUCCUGUAGAAGCUACUUUCUCUCAGCCUCAAGGAAUAUCCAGAAACCACAAUCUUCUGUGGCGAGUGAGCUGAAAAAGUUGAGAUGACGAAGAAGACAGUUUGGUAAGGAACCACAGUCUACUAUGACAAUUGAGCUGAAACAGUGAAGAAAAGACAGUUCGGUACAAGAAGGUGUGACCAUCCAAGUAGAGGCCGGGGGACAAGAUUGCAUGUUCACUAAGGUGUGAACAUGCACAAGAACCCCGGAUCAUAGUAACUAGGCCUGGUAAAGUAACCCUCCAUUUUUAUAUCCAAGCAAACUUGAAAUGUUUUUGUUCAGGUUUGCUUCUGGACCAUCCAGGGAAAUUUUCUUGAAAGCAUUUUUUGAGUAAUAUCGGGAAUUUGGUUGCUACCCUGACACCUUUGCUCAAGAGGAAAAAAAUUGGAGAAAAAUGGUUGACUACAUGUAAUUGGUUCAUGAAAAUCGAUUUUGAAAACACUGUGUGGAAUUUUGAAAUUGGUUUUUCUGAUGUUGUCCAAGGUUCCUUGUUAGCAGUGAAAUGCAUUAAUUCAAGUCAGUUCAGUGUUUUCCCAGAGUGGUUCAGCUGCAUGCUGUGAUUGUGUGGUGGUGGGCUAUGUGUUGUGGUUGUGCAGGGUGGUGGUCUCUCAUAGGUCAUCGGCUCAAAUUGGGCAUUUCCUGCACUGAGUGUCAUUCUAUAAGGACUAUGGGAUCAUCUAUAUCCAGAUGUCCUCAAGAUGGGUGAUGGGAUCUUCUAUAUCCCUACAUCCCCCAAGCAAGACCAGCAAGGAUGAUGGGAUCUGCUAUAUCCCUAUGUCCAUCUGGGGGCGGAUCUUUGGUGGCAAUGAAAGGGGGCCAACUAUAACUCAGCUCCUUGGGGAGCUUGCAUUUUAAAAUUAUCUGAAGCCAUAGUUUUCUCUUUGAGGGAAUGUAUACGACGAUUGUCAUGGCAACAGCAUCAAAUAUCUUAUUGGGGCCUAUGAAAAUAAAUUAACUCAAAUUAAUGGUCCACUCAGGAAAAAUUGUGUAGAGCAAGAUUAGGGAACUUGCCCCUGGAUCCGUCCCAGCUGCAAGACUCCACCAGCUAAAGAUCAUCUUUAGGGCAUAGGUAACUUCCUUCAAGGACAUUUUCUUUGUAGUGAAGCUGAAACUUUCACUAUAGGUUUUUUUCCUUCAGGCUCAGUUGGAUCUGUUAUAUCCCUCUGAGAUGUGCAGAGACUAUGGGAUCUCCUAUAUCCCUGUGUCGUUAGGGCUUAGGUGGGUGCGGAGAUCGAUUUGAAAUUGGAACUCACUCCAGUUGGAGUCCUGGGGUUUUCAAUGCGAGAUGUGCGGAAGGGGCUAGGCAGUUCGUGAGUCUAGCCCUACCAACGUUUCUGCUCGCCGGAAAAGAUGCAGGUAGUUGUGUUCCUCGUGUCGAGGGCUUCGGACCUCUUCCAUAGGAGCAUGGCCCCGUUAUCAUUGAUGGUUAGCAAGACGCUGGUACGUCCUCUCACCGUCCCAGGGGUGAGGGGGCACGCGUGAGUAGGCAAGGGCACUCUCCUUCAGGAGGGCAGACCCCACAGUGGCAGAUGGUGCCCCUGCGGCCGCAGGGUAACACCAGUCUGUCCAGCGAUGGGCCCGCUAAUUGCCGAAAGCGUGCGGUAUCCUGGGACCUGGGUUUUUACUAACCUUACCAAGAUAAUCACCUUACUGGGCGUCAAAGGUGAGCAUACAACUGUACUCAACAAAGUACUUUCAUAAACAACUUUGUUUAUUCUUUCAUUUAUCUUUUCUGCCAGUGAUGUUUUUCUUUCAUUUUCAAGAGCAUACAAAGAAUAGCCUUUUGACCUCCAUACCUGCCCCCCGAGGAGUGAAAAUUCUUUACUAUUGCCUUGUUGCAUCAGACUGCUAACAGAAAAAAAACGAAACUUAUUCAAAAGUUCAAAAAUUUCAGUCGACAGAAAAAAGCCCUGAAGAUAUUGAUUGAUUUUCAAAAUGUAGUGCCUACACUUUCAAAAAUCUUACGUGGAACCAUAGUCGAGUUGACACAAGAACAUGUGCUAAAUUGAAAUGCUUUUCACUUGAAUAGUUUCUUUUUGCUUUUUCAUUCUGACAGGUCAUAAAGGUUUUUAACUAACAAAGAUGGAAGAAGACUGUUGACUUUGAGUUAUCCCUUGUUUGGUAAAGCCCCCCAGAGGCCAGAUAAAUUUUACUGACUGAUGAGGUCUGUGAUUACCAUGGUAACACCAAGGCAUCUGGUAGUGCAGAACAUACAGUGUGUGAGAUGCAACCAGACGGGGCACAUCCCAACGGACCAAGAGGAUUUAAUUGGUGGUGAUGAUUCUGAUGACAGCCGUUGGCCUGAGCCCGGAAGCCUUCUUGAAUUUGUUGACCAAGAAACAAAAGAAGAAACUCCUCAAGAAGCUGAAUGGCAUGGAGAAGAAAUAUUCUGGGUUCGUGUGUAAGA
This is a long non-coding RNA of Acanthaster planci (crown-of-thorns starfish), 4007 nucleotides long. The record is from RefSeq and is a predicted model, not a curated record. Lineage: Eukaryota; Metazoa; Echinodermata; Asteroidea; Valvatida; Acanthasteridae.